CGAACGCUGGCGGCACGCUUAAUACAUGCAAGUCGUACGAGAAAGUUCCUUCGGGGGCGAGUAAAGUGGCGCACGGGUGAGUAACGCGUAGGUGACAUACCUUGAGACGGGGGACAACAGAGAGAAAUUUCUGCUAAUACCGCAUAGUUAAGGAGAUUUUGGAAGAAUCCUUAUAAAGAUGGCCUCUCCUUGGAAGCUAUCGUCUCGAGAAUGGCCUGCGUACCAUUAGCUUGUUGGUGGGGUAAUGGCCUACCAAGGCAGUGAUGGUUAACCGGUCUGAGAGGAUGAUCGGUCACACUGGAACUGAGACACGGUCCAGACUCCUACGGGAGGCAGCAGUAGGGAAUAUUGCGCAAUGGGGGAAACCCUGACGCAGCGAUGCCGCGUGAGUGAGGAAGGCCUUCGGGUUGUAAAGCUCUGUCCUUGGGGAAAAAAUGCUUGAAUCGUAAUAUGGUUCAGGAGCUGAUGGUACCCAAGAAGAAAGCACCGGCUAACUUC
Molecule: ribosomal RNA, 498 nt
Filed under: uncultured bacterium
Lineage: Bacteria
Description: bacterial SSU rRNA
Rfam family: Bacterial small subunit ribosomal RNA
Source: RNAcentral